AAUGAAUAUUGUUCAUUUAAGAUUAUUUUUCAUACCACAUACAGAUAUUUAUUUUUGUUUAAUGGCUUUUAGAAUUGUACAGAAUCCCAUUAUCUUACAUGAGAAUUGAUAUUGUAUUAAUAAAGAUGUGCACAUACUUAUAUUAUUUCAAAACUGUUUAUACAUGUGUACAUGUAACUUAAACACUCCUAUGAAGGGGCAAUGGUUCCAGAUUUGGUUCAAGCAACUGUCUUGAAAACCAUGAGUUUACUCAAAAGCAUGUGGAAUUUAUUUAAUCCACAAUACACAAAAGCCCCUACUUAUUAAUCCCUGCUAUGGGCAAAUGCCCAAUUAUAGAUAGCAAAGACCUUUUGGAAUGGGAUCAGGACCACCAGAGAUGGGAUCAUGGUAAAAGACAGAUCUAGAGGGCACAAAGUGAGUUGAUGAUGGAUAAUUGCCAUAAAUCAGUACACUUUUCCCUCAGUGAUCAGUAUAAUUUGUGUAAAUUGAGGUCUUGUUACUAAACUGGUUGGAAAUUGUGUAUAGAAAACUGUUUUAAGCUUCCAACUUCUUCCUUUACGAAACCUGCAUUUGUUUCUUAAACAAAGGUUGUUAAUGUGAUACAUUUCAUCAACCCUAUUCUGACUGUACAUAACAUUUUCACUCCCAAUAAAAUUUUUUAUUUUCAUGUUUUAUAUUUUU
This 681-nucleotide long non-coding RNA is filed under the name Marmota monax (woodchuck). Lineage: Eukaryota; Metazoa; Chordata; Mammalia; Rodentia; Sciuridae. The record is from RNAcentral.